UCUUUUGCAAAAGAAGUAACACCCUACAAACCGGAGUUGGAAAAACACCUGCGACAACUGAGAAAAGAGAAAGAUCUCAUCAAAAAAUUCUUGGGGCAAUCUUUAACCUAAGAGAACAUGGAUAAAAAUGGUGAGCAAGUAUUGAUACCCAGUUUUUUAUAUAUAUUUUAUAGACAUAUAUACUUUCAAAAUAGCAUAUAUAUGCAUAUAUAAAUAUGCACAGGNNNNNNNNNNNNNNNAAGUUUCCAAUAAUUAUCCUUCAAAUUAUUAUUGUGGUAAUUUAGUUAUCUAAAUCCUAUAUUUAUUCCAAAAUAGUGCUUAAGUAUUUUUAGUACAUUUUUUAUAAUUGCAUUUGUGUUUUUAAAACUAAUUUGCACAUAUUUGCAAUACUAGCCCUAUUAACGCAUGGUUACAUUUAUAUGCAUAAAAUGAUCUUCUAUAUUUUUAAAAUGUUAAAUAUCUAUUUUUAAUUAUUUAGUACACAAAAUUAUUUUUUAGAAAUUAUUUAUUAUUUAUUAUAAAUUAUAUAGGGUUAAAUUGGCUAUUUAAAACUUAGCUAAAUUGUAUUUCAAUUUUAGCCUAAUUUCGACCCAACACCCAUCCCAAUUCUUAAUUAAAUUACUCGACCCAGGCCCUAAAUGCACCUACCCGACCCAAGGCCCUAUCAGAUCCUGGUCGUUGAUCUAAAAGAUCAACGACCCUCGUUUGUUCUUUCCUUUUUAAUUCCAAACGACCCCCUAACCCUAAUCAUUUCUCUACACUCGCCGCCCUAAGAUCCUCUCCUCUCUCAAAACACUCUCAACCUAACCCUAAUAUCCAACUGCAAACCUCCCCUCUCCGGUCAUCUCUAGUGACUCUCAUCAUCUCUUAAGCCUCUAAUGGCUUCUCUCAUGCCAUGCUUGCCUUCUCUAAGGUCUUCAAGGGCCCAGGGCCAUGCCGACUUGCAUCUAGGGUUCAUCUCCUGGCUGAUCUUGGCUAUUACAGUGUGGUUUCAAGCAAAAUCAUUCUAUAUUUGCUACGAUCUUUUGAGUUUCUAGACAGGUUUCUUCAUCUCUAUAUAGGUUCUUUCGAGACCCUAAUUUCUUUUAUAUACCUCAGAUCUAGGAUGAUUUGAGUUUGUUUCUUGAAUGUUUUACGCUAUCCUUGAGGUUCUUUAUAAGAAUCAUAUGAUUUCAAGUGUUUUUCAUCUUCUUCUAAAACUAGGGUUUUCGGAACUUCUUUUUAAAACCUUGUUUAACUGAUUCUUUGUGUUUAAACUUCUAUUUCUCACAUAUCUUGACUGAUUCUAUAAGCUUACUGCAUCUUUAACUCUUCUAUAUUGAAAGCCCUAAUUUUUAGGGUUCUUUCGUUUGGUUCUGUGUAUUAGCAUGACUGACCGAUCCUCGUUUUUGAGUUUCUAUGAUUUCUUGUGACUAUCUUGCCUUGAUAUGUUUCUACUGAGUUUCGCCUAAACUUACACUGAUUCUGUGUGCUUGUAUUCAUCUUGAGUUCAUCUUGACUAUUCAAGACUUGCCUCUUUCUCAUUGAAUCAAUACUGUUUGACUCUUAUGUUUGCUAGAGUUGUAUGUCGACUCUUGACUAUCCAUGUCUUACUUUAUUUAUAUGCUAAGUGCUAACUCUUUUCAUGACUUUCUCUUUGAUUGAUUCUGAAUUUCUUGUUUCUUGGUUUAAUUUGAAAACUUUCCUUUAAACCUUCGAUUCUUACCUUCCUACUCAAUAUGAUUGAUUUGCUUGCCUAAAUUAACUUUCACUUACCUUGUCUGUAUUGUUACUUGAUUCUUACCGACUAUCUCCUUAAUUAGAAUUUUCUGAACAUGACCCUAAUUGUUUAAUCUAUACCUAUUGUAUUUGAAGUCUGUCCUUAUUGGUCGUACAUUGAUUUCUUUCCUUAUUUGUUAUUUAACUCCUUAUUAAAGGGAAGUACUUACACUGAUUAGUACAUAGUUCCAUUAUUAUUGCUGAACUAUGAUUCUUGCCUUAUUUUCUACCUGUUUUCAAACUAUAAAUACCCUGCUCUUUCAUUAACACAAGACACGAACACAUUAGUUCAAAACUCUCUCACACUCAAAAACGCUUCCGCUCUCUCUUUGGUUACUUGCUAUUAUUCUGAGUUAGCCAGCUGCAAACCAAGGUUAACUAUUGUGCUAUCCUAUUCCUCAGUUUGUGUUUGCUAUCUCUCUACUUGUAUGUUCUGAUUUCAAUUCGAGUCCCAAAGCCAAUAUGUUUCUUUUACUGCUUUAAUUUAUCAUGUUUCUAAUUUGUUUCUAUCUAUGGUUUUGUUGUUCAACAUGCAAUUGAUAUGUUUACAUUAUUGCUUCAUCUAGCAUGCUAGUCUAACCUUCUUAGGUCCUUUCAGAACAUGUUCUACCCCCCCCCCCCUAGUGGUCUGUCUCAACAUGACUCUACCCUUUUUUGAAUGCUUGUCUACUUGUUAUCCAGUUUUGAUAUGCAAACUAAUCUGUCACUUUAAAUGGUUGAUUCUAUGAUUGUUUCUGAAAUUUCUACUGUGUUGGUACCAAUAUCUAUCCCCUAAUCCUUAAACCCCCACAAGAACUGCUAUGCUCAUGUAUAUUAUGUGCUCUAUGUGUCCCCAAUUCACAUUCCCCUGUGUGAAGGACUGUUAUUUGAGUGUUUUUGAACUUGUUUGACUGGCCUACUGUGUGUUUAAUUACACAAUUAUUUUCAAAAGCUGUUUUACUAAACAACUCUCUUAUUUACAAAAUUAUUUUAACUAAGUCUCUUUUUACACUACUUUCCUGCUAAAACUUUUCAAAAAUUAUGUCAAGCACUCUCACUCCAUUCUUAGAUCCUUAAGUUCUGCCCCUCAACGUGUCGUGACUGCCUUGGGAUACCUAUGAGAUCUCUCUGAACUCUGANNNNNNNNNNNNNNNNNNNNNNNNNUAUGGAAUUUGGCAUUUGAGGCUAUUGGAGGCUUGAGAAAAUCAUUUGGGCCUAUUUUCAGGCUCUCUAUAGUGUAACUUCUUGUUUUCCUUUCUACUUGUGUAAUUCAUGCAAUAUUGGUCUGUAAUAAUUUGUUGUAAAUAAAUAUUGGGGUUUGGCUAGUGAAAAGGGGAGGGUAGUUGUCACACCUCCUUUUUCCUAUACUCGUAGGGGAAAGUAUAAGGGAGUUUUUUCCAAUUUAAGUGACAAUCGAAAUGGGAUCAUUUUAUCAAAAGUUUAGAGUCGUCACUUGGGAUAAUUUUAUGGUGUCCCAAGUCACCGGUUCAAAUCCCGAAUCGAGGAAAAGAUUGACUCUGUUUUACAGUCCGCGAACACAAAAAUCCAGGUAAGGAAUUCUGUUAACCCGGGAGAAGGUGUUAGGCAUUCCCGGAUUUCGUGAUUCUAGCACGGUCGCUCAACUAUUAUAAUUGGCCUAUUAUCUGAUUCUAAUACAUGUUUUAACCUAUGGUACAAUUUUAACUUUAUAACUGCUUUUGUUUAAUUAUUUUUAGGAAAGAUUCAACGUCAUCUAAAACAUGUCUUGAACCAUGUCACAUAAAUGCACCCGCGGUCCACGACACAUUUUAUCUAACGUUGUUGAGCUUUGGAUUUGGGUCACAUAAAUGCACACCCGAGUUUAGGAAGGUAAUUUUUAAAAUAGCGCGCCUAAAGAAACUACGCAUCUUCAAGUUUGUGAGGGCCAUGAAAAUUCAACUCAAUGGCACGCCUCGAUUUCUAAGGAUUAAAAGUUGAUUAAGUGAGGGCCAUGCAUUUUAAGAUUUUUAUUUGGCACAGCGCACCUCAAUUUUUCUAUAAAAAAACUAGCUAGUUUUAUGAAGACCAUGGGCUUAGGGGUUUUAUUUAGUUCGGCCUUUCUACCACUCCCCCACGGCCCCAUUCAAUCAUUAGAAUCACUUCCAUCCAAUCGUCCAUACAAAUAUAUUUGAGAUAAACAACCAAACAACUAAGAUAAGGAUAAUCCAAAGAAAGUGAUGUACGAGAGUUAAGAAUACUAAUAAUAUAGUACGAACCGAAGCAGCAGGACAACUAUUUAAAUAUUUCUAACUCUAUCCAUUUUUGUUUCUACCACUCAAUCUCAAAUUCAUUAACUCUGCCAUAAAGUUAUUUCACAAUUCCUUCAUUCACUGCCAAAUUUCAUCAAAAUAUUUAACACUUAUCUUCAACUUUCAAACAUGAGAGAAGUAAGCCACUCAAUACUAACCUCAAGUCAACCUAACUUUAAUCCAACACAUAAGAACCUCUUCUAUAAUUAUACAUUCAUGAUCAUAGUGUAAACAAAUAAAAUAUCAUGUAACCCAACAAAAUUGCCUUCGGGCUGCGUGAAACAAAUACUUUGAAUCUGCUAAUUUAUAGCACUAAGCUAAUAGCCCAAAGAUAAUAAAGUAAUCACGAUCAUCAACAUCAAAUUGGAGUGCUAUGUAGCUAAUAAAUAAUAGAAGCAAUAAAUGAAUGCACAACAUCAUAAAGGAUGGAACAGAGAUAACAAUGUACCUUAUAUUGCCUUUAAAUUUUUUGCAAAGCAAUGAUCAAAACAACAAUGAUGACUACGACUGGAACCAACAGCGACGACCUCGACGGAACCUCCGAUUUAGUGAUUUCGGAAGUGUUUGCAGCUGGUUCUGCUGCUGGUUCGAUGGCUGGAAUAUAGCUACUGUUUUUCCGUAUUCCGGAGCUAUUUCGAAGCUGUUUUGUGGAUGGUUUCGUGGGUGUUGAAGCUCCUUUAAUGGCUGCUUUUCAGCAGUGUUUUGAAUGUAUUUUUGGCUAGGACUUGCACUGUUUUGAGGCUGUUUUGUUCAGUUGCGUUUUUGCUAUUUUAGGUGAGUUUACAUGGUGAUUUUAAUAGAGGAAAAUGUGAUUUAUGGGUGGUAAUGGACUGGUGUUACAUGGGGGUUUACAUAGUAAGUCUUCGUGUAAACAAAGAUGUAUAAAGAUGGAGAAGAAGGACAAAACUUGCUUUUCCUUGGUGUUAUCGAAGAAAGAUGGAGGUUGUUGUGUAUGUAGAUGUUUUUGGUUGCCUUAAGGGUUGAAGAAACAGAUGGG
RNAcentral lists this long non-coding RNA (5001 nucleotides) under Nicotiana tabacum (common tobacco). RNAcentral's name for it is "long non-coding RNA (NTAB_LNC002116)". Lineage: Eukaryota; Viridiplantae; Streptophyta; Magnoliopsida; Solanales; Solanaceae. The record is from RNAcentral.